This 253-nucleotide ribosomal RNA is filed under the name uncultured bacterium. RNAcentral's name for it is "partial 16S ribosomal RNA". It matches the Rfam family "Bacterial small subunit ribosomal RNA", at positions 524 to 776 of the family's 1533-position model. The record is from RNAcentral.
CACGUAGGGCGCAAGCGUUGUCCGGAAUUAUUGGGCGUAAAGAGCUCGUAGGCGGUCUGUUGCGUCCGCUGUGAAAACUCGGGGCUUAACCCCGAGCCUGCAGUGGAUACGGGCAGACUAGAGGUAGGUAGGGGAGAAUGGAAUUCCCGGUGUAGCGGUGAAAUGCGCAGAUAUCGGGAAGAACACCCGUGGCGAAGGCGGCUCUCUGGGACGGUACCGACGCUGAGACGCGAAAGCGUGGGGAGCGAACAGG